RNAcentral lists this ribosomal RNA (472 nucleotides) under uncultured bacterium. Its description in RNAcentral is "bacterial SSU rRNA". It matches the Rfam family "Bacterial small subunit ribosomal RNA", at positions 355 to 825 of the family's 1533-position model. The record is from RNAcentral.
UGGGGAAUUUUGGACAAUGGGGGCAACCCUGAUCCAGCAAUGCCGCGUGAGUGAAGAAGGCCUUCGGGUUGUAAAGCUCUUUUGUCAGAGAAGAAACGGUAGUAGCGAAUAACUAUUACUAAUGACGGUACCUGAAGAAUAAGCACCGGCUAACUACGUGCCAGCAGCCGCGGUAAUACGUAGGGUGCAAGCGUUAAUCGGAAUUACUGGGCGUAAAGCGUGCGCAGGCGGUUGUGUAAGUCAGAUGUGAAAUCCCCGGGCUCAACCUGGGAAUUGCAUUUGAGACUGCACGGCUAGAGUGUGUCAGAGGGGGGUAGAAUUCCACGUGUAGCAGUGAAAUGCGUAGAUAUGUGGAGGAAUACCGAUGGCGAAGGCAGCCCCCUGGGAUAACACUGACGCUCAUGCACGAAAGCGUGGGGAGCAAACAGGAUUAGAUACCCUUGUAGUCCCUGAGCGGGCUGGCAAGGCGCAU